Molecule: long non-coding RNA, 160 nt
Organism: Melitaea cinxia (Glanville fritillary)
Lineage: Eukaryota; Metazoa; Arthropoda; Insecta; Lepidoptera; Nymphalidae
Exons: 3
Source: RefSeq, a predicted model, not a curated record
AAUUUUACAUAUGGUAGUUAAUCUUUUAAGGUAUCAGACAACGUGUUAUAAAUCUUGAAUUCCACAUAGUGUAGGUUUUUAUAAAGAGCUAGCUUUGAAAGGAUAACGCUAAUUACGUUAACUGCAGCCGAUGGAUCCAAAAAAAAAAACAGAAUGACUU